Molecule: ribosomal RNA, 443 nt
Filed under: uncultured bacterium
Lineage: Bacteria
Description: partial 16S ribosomal RNA
Rfam family: Bacterial small subunit ribosomal RNA
Source: RNAcentral
CCUACGGGUGGCAGCAGUGGGGAAUAUUGGGCAAUGGAGGCAACUCUGACCCAGCAACGCCGCGUGAAUGAUGAAGGUCUUCGGAAUGUAAAGUUCUGUGAUGGGGGAUGAACACAAUGAAGGUAGCACAAUAGCAAGCCACGGCUAACUACGUGCUAGCAGCCGCGGUAAUACGGAGGUGGCAAGCGUUAUCCGGAAUGACUGGGCGUAAAGGGUGCGUAGGUGGUUUAGUAAGUUGGCGGUGAAAAACCGGGGCUCAACCCAGGGGCUACCGCCAAAACUAGUAGACUAGAGUGCAGGAGGGGUAAGUGGAAUGCCUGGUGUAGCGGUGAAAUGCGUAGAUAUUAGGAGGAACAUCAGGGGCGAAGGCGACUUACUGGACUGUAACUGACACUGAGGCACGAAAGCGUGGGGAGCAAACAGGAUUAGAUACCCUUGUAGUC